GGUAAACACGAAUGGCGUCGCAUUUCGGAUGCUGCGCACCCGGGACAGGCUCUGCUCCUGGCCCUCUUUGGCUGGUUCAUCCCCACCACCUGAACCUGAAAAUGGCCAAUAGCCUUUACCUUUAGACCCGCUGCCGCCCAUCAUGGACCGCAAAACAUUCUCCUCCUGGUCGGGUCACACUGGGACGGGUGCUCAGUUCUGAAAGAAGACCAAAACAGACUGAAGACAUCUCUCCACUGGAUCUACGGCUACGAGCGCAGCAUUUCCUCCAGUGUGAAGUCACACUCAACAGUCAUGCUUCAAACACACGCAUCUCUUCUCUCGCUCACUGCAUUUCACUUUCAACCCUCAUUAUGUCCACAGUAGGACGAAGGGCUCUUUCACACACUCUUUGGACUCAGACAGUAAUAAGCCUUGUUUCCUCCUCGAUCUCUCUUGUUUGUGAGGUAUAAACACAGAUUCAUUCAGCCAGGCUUGCUGAAGUUCUUCAUAGCCUCUU
RNAcentral lists this long non-coding RNA (499 nucleotides) under Danio rerio (zebrafish). Its description in RNAcentral is "lncRNA si:dkey-42i9.15 (ENSDARG00000095950.2)". The record is from RNAcentral. Lineage: Eukaryota; Metazoa; Chordata; Actinopteri; Cypriniformes; Danionidae.